Long non-coding RNA from Athene cunicularia (burrowing owl), 3492 nucleotides. RefSeq lists it as uncharacterized. The transcript is spliced from 3 exons. The record is from RefSeq and is a predicted model, not a curated record. Lineage: Eukaryota; Metazoa; Chordata; Aves; Strigiformes; Strigidae.
CUGACAGCUCAGUAUCUGUAGCCGGGAGAAACGUAUAAAGAAAGGGAAUCAGAUGACAUUAAUAAUCGGGUUUGAAUUCUGUAUUGAUUUUUGGAGGGGAAGAAAGUGCUUUUUUCUUUCCUCACCUGAAAUGCUAAUACCUUCUUCUUUCUGGGAAUAUUAAUAACUUAGCCAUUGGGUCUCUCUAACUGAAAUGCUCCUUUAUUCCUCCCGCUACCCCGGUGCUGCGGGGAUAAUGACGACACUUUUAGCUCCUAUUUCCGAGCAGCUUCCUUCCACGCGACGUUCUGGCCGUCUAUUGCAUUGUUUGGGAAGAAAAGACACCCGGUGUUUACACAAUGGUCUGCACGCAGCGUUUGGUGCUGCUCGCUCUGCCUCCUGCGCUGAUUGCGCUGGGGGAUGUUUAUUUAAGCCCUGGAGUAUAACUCACCGGUGCUAGGGAAGAAAACAGUUGCGCUUAUCUCAAGAGCGGCUCGGUGUAAAGCACUAUAAUUAGCCGGGAGAGCUAGAGAACCGCCUGGAGAAGUCCUCCCAAUUUUCCAGGCUACAGUUUGGGAGUUGUCCUGGUGUGGCGAGGUUGGUUUCUUUCCCUUUUCUUUCCCUCUUUUGAGAAUACUGCAGAUGUCAACUCCGCAGUGGCCCACGGAACACUACAGGUUUUGAUAUUUAGAUGAGUCUAUUAAACUUUAAAAUACAAGGUGAAAUUCAAUAUUUAUAGUCCUUGUCUAUUUAUAUAUCACAGUUGUCUUUCACUGCACCAUGCAAGUACUCUGGUGCCCAGUUUUGCACCGAACUUUCCUGUAUUAAUCAUGAUAAUUAUUUGUCAUUUUUCUUUGCAGCCUGCCUGCUCUGCUCUGGUCAGCUUUGUGCCAGUUCCAAUCUGUAUUCCCUAGAAAGCAGUCAUAAAACAAAACAAAACAAAAAACCAACAAAAAAAACCCACAAAAAAUCCCACCAAAACCAAAAAACAACAAAACAACUUAAUAACCUGAAAUGCUAAAAGCUGACGUUACAUCUUUCUGCAGCGUUCAUGUCUUGUUUCAGUUGCAAUCUACAAACAGGGGCCCUUUGUGGAUAAGAAACUCAACACAAUUAUAUUUCGUCUCUAAUUGUUGGUGCCCGCACAGAAACAUGCAAUAAGCCCCACAAUGAUUUAAAAAUCACCUUUGCGGCCCUUGCACACAAAAAACGUAACACGGUUCAAAUCCAAGCAAAGACGUCUAAUGCUGUGGGCUAUAUCCUUAAGCAUUUGGAAAAUGCAAGUCUUUGCUGUGCAAUAAAAAUUGAUCCUUGUCAAAGCCCUGAUUCCUGUACAAAGCAGUUAACAGCUUUCGCGAAAGAGAAACACAUGCUGCCUUCUCCAAAGUUUGAGCAACUAAACCCAUCGCGAUCAAUAGGAAACGCUGGAGAGUUCCCCUCUUGUGGGAGACAGCCCGCACACCCAGACGAGUGGGGAUUUUGCAGCCAAAGCCCGACCAAGUCUAUCUCCGAGAGUUGUGUGUUUCUUUCCCGAGAACCCGGAGCCAACGUUCAUACAAGUUUUAUCGUAAAAGCAUGAAACGAGAAGGAAACGCUGUGGUGCUGGAACAGGCCACAGCAGGUAAACCAGAGAGCCUCUUCAGGACUAACGCUUUGAUGGACGUCUUCAGGGACAUGAUCUAGAGGCAGUUAAUGCAGCUACACUUUUACUAUCUGCAUUUUCAUCGCCUCCUCCUUUGGAGGGGUUAUUGCCACUCCUGGAAAUAUUUCAGCGACGGAAUUUGCUUAUGGGCUAAACAGACUUUAGCGAGCUCUUUCUAGUCGACUUCGCUUUGUUUUCACGUUACAGAUUUAAAGCAACCUUGACACCGCCUGACAAACGCUGUGAAGCUCUACACGUUGCCCAUUUGGGAUCUGACAUGGAACCGAGGGCAGCCUACAACAUUUUCAAGUAGAUUAGCUCCCAUAAAGUCGCUAUCGACAGUAAAUACGACUAUGUUUCCUGAGCCCGUCUGAGGUGUAAUUGCAUCUCCUGCACUCUGAAUCGAGGGACAGCGAGCUGACACUGCCGACCUGCACAGACCUACGCAAUGGCUUGUGAUCGGCAGAGCUAUGAUGACAAACAUCACACUUGCAUAAGAAGGCGCCGCUAAUUAAUUGACUCAGAUUACAACUGCACGUAAAAUCAGGCGUUCAAAGCUAUCCCUCCGAAUGCUUUCAUUCUCCAAGUCUUCAAUCCCCUUGGCAAACAAUCUAGAUUAAAGCAGAAAGGCCUCCCAUGCUCAUUCUGUUCUUCGUAUUUAUUAACUUUUCACACUUAAGAACUGGAGCCAACACACGCGCGCUCUCUCUUCCCACCCCCUCCCCAAAACUUUUCAGCAAGAGAAGCAAACGCUGCGACCUGGGCAGCUGCUGGAUGGCUGAACGGACCCUACAACAUGCCCACGUUUACCUGCUCGGUGCAGAGCAUCGCAACUACGCUUUCACCAGCAAAGCAAAGGUUGGUAAGAGGUUUCUCCUUCCAGCCCUGUACCCCCAGUGCCGCAGACUCGGCGGCAUUCAAACGCCACCGCCUUUGAGCUCUCUGGCAGCUGACAGCUUGAACAUACUCCCCUGCGAAGAUAAAACUUUCCUACUUACAAGGUCAAAUUCUAUGCCUGUUAAAGUUUGCCUUAAAAUCCAGAAAGUUUGACUCGAUACCUUACCUUAGCGCUCGCUGAAUAUCAUAUCCACACCCCCUUCCCAAGAAAUAACACACAUGUUAAAAUACAUUUGCCCUCUGUCCUAGGUAAAGAUUGCACAAAGCCAAAUGAUUCAUCACAGAUAGUUUCUCUUCCCUCCAGCAGUUCGUUUUCAGCUGCCUUGCUGCUAAAGCAGGCUCCGAAGGGGAGGGGGGGAUAAACCCCACCGCUCCCCCCUCCCCCCGUUUCCGUAGAGAGAGAGACACAGACACACAGACACACUCACACAGACACACACAGACACACACACACACACAAACAUCGCCACCAAAACGAGGAGAAAAUGUUUACCUGCGAUCACGCCAGGCGUCGGCUAAAGCCUCGCAGCGAUGGCUGUGCCAUGGCAGGGCUUCGCUCCUGUCGGCUGCGCGGGCGGGCUCCGCGGGGAGCUGCGCGGAGCAGCGCGGGCAUUUCUCGGCGCGCAGUACCUGCGCGGCGCCGCCGGUCCCCAGGCGCCACAGUCACUUCACUAACCCCUGCACCAGAGUGACGUUCAAGUGAACAGCUCCACUGAUCACACUCUUUCCUACUGAUUAACACUUUCCAACGCGACCAGGCACUCCGCUUCCAACUUUUCCCGUUUUAAACCAGAAGCAGCCAGCACCGCUUGCUCCCGCGGGUUAUAAACGCCGUCUGGGGCGUGGGGGACACCAUAAUUAAUAGCAGGACUGCCAGAGGGCCCUGUUACCUGGUUGAGUACCUGAUAACAUCACAGGGUAGAAGACACACAGAGAGCUUCUGUGACCUUAUCCCCGGUGUGAUCUUGUCCAGU